This 352-nucleotide long non-coding RNA is filed under the name Coturnix japonica (Japanese quail). Its description in RNAcentral is "lncRNA (ENSCJPG00005001276.1)". The record is from RNAcentral. Lineage: Eukaryota; Metazoa; Chordata; Aves; Galliformes; Phasianidae.
UUUGGGUGGCUUGUUCUUCCCAUCUGCCUUAACCCACCAUAUCUCAAUCUGGGGACCAUAGCAUUGCAAGCAUUUCAAAACCACAACCAGAUAAACACUGGGUGCUGCACCUGGCUCCUCAUCUUGGUUAGCAUCCAGCACAGAGAUGUAAAUUGCCGUGUUAAAUACAGCAAUGGUCGGAAACAACAGCAAGGUAAGCACUUGUUCAUGACUAACAAAACAUCACUGGCAAGAAACAGCAAACACCGCCGCUCUCCAGGGAUCUGGCUUGGAGUGCAUGAAAAACUCUUUAUUUCUGAGAGUUACUUCUAAAAUUCUUGACCUUCAGGAAAUGGUUCAAUUUCCCCAUAAA